This is a long non-coding RNA of Parus major (Great Tit), 1303 nucleotides long. RefSeq lists it as uncharacterized. NCBI's taxonomy places the organism in Eukaryota, Metazoa, Chordata, Aves, Passeriformes, Paridae. The transcript has 4 exons. The record is from RefSeq and is a predicted model, not a curated record.
ACUGUGAAUGUGAAGAAAACUAUAUUAUGGUAGAAUUAUAAAUGCAGAGAUUUUUUAAAAUGUGAAUAGCAAAACAACCACCUGUUAAAUCAUAUUGAUUUAAAUCACAAAAGCUAUUGAAUUUUCCAUAAGCAGCUGGAUGUCUUGCUGUCAUGUGUUUUCUAAAGGAGAAAGUAAAAUGAAACUGUAAGAGACAGAAACUAUGAGAGAAACAGUGGGGAAAGAAAGAUACGGCGCUCCGAUUAUCUCUUCAGUAGAUAUGUCUUUGCAGGAUAAUUGCUCUUUGGAUCAGCUUACUGCCUCUGGAACUUUGGAAGAUUUUCUUUGUUCCUUCUCCUCAAACUUUUCUACCUUAUUACUUAAAACCUAAUUAUCUUGUGAAACACUAAUUGCCAAGAUGGGUAACUUAAUUUUCCAAUCUGCAAUCUUCAUUACACUCUCUUGCCACUUUUGAUUCAGGAAGAUUCUUAGGGAACAAUUUUGCUUUUAUGAGUAGUCCUCCAGCCCACCAAAGUCUGGAGCUAAGAUACAUCAUGAGAUCCCAUGUUUUUGCCUGAAGUGUAUUUUGCAUCCCUUUUUUAUCUUCGUGCAGGCUUUGACAGAACAAGGAACCUGAUGGUGGUGAAACAGAGAAAAUGAAGCAGAUCUAAAAUAAUGUGUGAAGACCUUGCUUGGAUACAGCAGAUGCCUGCCCUGAUGGUAAAUAGCAACUGCCUUGAACCAAGCAAGUAUAACAGAUCCUGCAUAUCUCUGAUUUCCAAGUGGAGCAAACCUCAACCUUAUGAAGGAGGGUCACCCCUGCAUCCAUCCUUUUUGUCUUUUAAAUAGAAACAACAUAGCCCACAUCCUGCACACUUCCAAGAUAAGAGAAAAUAACUGAGAACCAAGAAAAAAUGGAGCCAGCUUACCUGGGAUUACUGGAAGUCUAACAAUGAGAAGCAAGAGACAACAACUUGAGUGUAUUCAUAAACAGAGAAUAUAAGGACUGAAAGGCAGCAUGAAAGAUGAAUAAUUCAAAGAGGAGACCAUGCCCUCACUGAGGUAAACUAAUUUUAUGAGAGUUCUACCAGAUGACAUAUGCUUAAGUUUUCAUUUGGAAUAUUAUAUUACAUUUUGUUAUAUAACAUUGUAUUAUCUUGGACAGAUUAUUUGCAUUUUGUGGAGUUCUUCUUAUUUACCUUUGGUUUAAACCCAUGUAGCUCUGUAGAUUUCAUUGGCAAAAUUUUACAGUAUGUAAAUGAAGUUAGCAUCCAGUGUUUGCCUUCUCUGACCUGCUAAGUUAUCACAUUUCUUCCUUUAUGAA